UUGAACGCUGGCGGCAUGCUUUACACAUGCAAGUCGAACGGUAACAGGCCGCAAGGUGCUGACGAGUGGCGAACGGGUGAGUAAUGCAUCGGAACGUGCCCAGUCGUGGGGGAUAACUACUCGAAAGAGUAGCUAAUACCGCAUACGAUCUAUGGAUGAAAGCGGGGGACCGUAAGGCCUCGCGCGAUUGGAGCGGCCGAUGUCAGAUUAGGUAGUUGGUGGGGUAACGGCUCACCAAGCCAACGAUCUGUAGCUGGUCUGAGAGGACAACCAGCCACACUGGGACUGAGACACGGCCCAGACUCCUACGGGAGGCAGCAGUGGGGAAUUUUGGACAAUGGGCGCAAGCCUGAUCCAGCAAUGCCGCGUGCAGGAAGAAGGCCUUCGGGUUGUAAACUGCUUUUGUACGGAACGAAACGGCUCUGGUUAAUACCCGGGGCUAAUGACGGUACCGUAAGAAUAAGCACCGGCUAACUACGUG
RNAcentral lists this ribosomal RNA (481 nucleotides) under uncultured bacterium. RNAcentral's name for it is "partial 16S ribosomal RNA". It matches the Rfam family "Bacterial small subunit ribosomal RNA", at positions 30 to 507 of the family's 1533-position model. The record is from RNAcentral.